RNAcentral lists this ribosomal RNA (253 nucleotides) under uncultured bacterium. Its description in RNAcentral is "partial 16S ribosomal RNA". It matches the Rfam family "Bacterial small subunit ribosomal RNA", at positions 524 to 776 of the family's 1533-position model. The record is from RNAcentral.
GACGUAGGGCGCGAGCGUUGUCCGGAUUUAUUGGGCGUAAAGAGCUCGUAGGCGGCUUGUCGCGUCGACCGUGAAAACUUGGGGCUCAACCCCAAGCCUGCGGUCGAUACGGGCAGGCUAGAGUUCGGUAGGGGAGACUGGAAUUCCUGGUGUAGCGGUGAAAUGCGUAGAUAUCUGGAGGAACACCGGUGGCGAAGGCGGCAUCCUGGACCGAGAUUGACGCUGAGGCGCGAAAGCUAGGGUAGCAAACGGG